UUUGCAGUGUUAUGAAUGUACUUCUAUUUUUGUGCUCUAUUCUUUCUUCUACUGGUUUCUAUAAGCAUGCUUUUACAUGUCUAUCUCGUAUGUUACUCUAAUGUAUUUUACUAAGCUUUUAAUCCUUGUUUGCCUUUACUGGACUUUCGUUUUAAACUCUAAGCAUGCUUCAUCUACUACUUUCCUAAGCUUAUGUCGCCUUUUCUCUUCUGAACUUAUUUGAGUGACAAGUGUGCUUAAAUGUGUUCCCGUGUUUCAAAUUAGUUUCCACAUUCUAUUUGCCUUGAACCUGAUGUUCUCUUUGUUUGUUUUCUCAUAAGUCUCUGAAAGAGACUACUGAGCCUGCUCUAGUUGUUGUCUUCUUGUCUAUGCAUCUGAUUGGAGUAAGAAACCCUA
This 396-nucleotide long non-coding RNA is filed under the name Nicotiana benthamiana. RNAcentral describes it as "long non-coding RNA (NBEN_LNC024294)". Lineage: Eukaryota; Viridiplantae; Streptophyta; Magnoliopsida; Solanales; Solanaceae. The record is from RNAcentral.